RNAcentral lists this unclassified non-coding RNA (362 nucleotides) under Hevea brasiliensis (rubber tree). The record is from RNAcentral. Lineage: Eukaryota; Viridiplantae; Streptophyta; Magnoliopsida; Malpighiales; Euphorbiaceae.
GUUAUUUGGUAGAAGAUAUUAUAGAAAAUACAUGCAAGAGUUUAGGGCAGUAGGAUUGAAUGGCUUUCUAUUAAAAUUAUGUAAAACAAGUCAAUUUUAGGGGGCUGAUUCUGAAACUAAUGCUGUUUACAAGUAAUGAGUUUUUCUUUCCCUCAUUGAAAGAGAUGUCAUCAGUUUUUAGAGUUUGAUAGGAUGGAAAUUAAGCCAGCAGUGAAAGCUCAUGUAAUGUUUUGGUUAGAUCCCUGCCCUAUUGACUAAUCAAAUCACAGAAGACAAACAAUUAUCAAUCAUACAAAGAAUAUAUAACAUAAACUUUCUUCAAAAAACAACUGUGUACGCCUUAAAAGUUACUUCAUAUGAAG